This 105-nucleotide microRNA precursor is filed under the name Canis lupus familiaris (dog). RNAcentral describes it as "mir-8834 microRNA precursor family". It matches the Rfam family "mir-8834 microRNA precursor family". RNAcentral also lists the same sequence under 1 other name. Lineage: Eukaryota; Metazoa; Chordata; Mammalia; Carnivora; Canidae. The record is from Rfam by way of RNAcentral.
UGGAGGAACAACCCCAGUGGCGGAGCCAGCUCUGGAGCCCUGGAGUCAGCUCCCGCAGUAACUCCGGAGCUCUCCGUCUGCAGGGCCUGGAGGCUCCGGGGCGGG